GGAAGGUCCAUUAGUGAAUCAAUUUGCGGGAGGAUGUGCUGGCCUUGUUGCACGUGCACUCCAAACGCUAAUCCACUUACCCCUGUGCACCUUUGACCUUGACCAUGCCUCUAGUCGACCACAGUCGGCACCCAAAGAGCUGGUCUUGGUACUUUACACACUCGUUGUCUCAGAAUGUCUCAUGUGCUUAAUGCGCAGAAAUACAACUUUCAACAACGGAUCUCUUGGCUCUCGCAUCGAUGAAGAACGCAGCGAAUUGCGAUACGUAAUGUGAAUUGCAGAAUUCAGUGAAUCAUCGAAUCUUUGAACGCACCUUGCACCCUUUGGUAUUCCGAAGGGUAUGCCCGUUUGAGUGUCAUUGUAAUCUCACACCCAAAGUUUCUUUCAGAAAUCGAGGGAGGUGGACUUGAGGGUUGCAGCGGUGACGCUGCUCUCUUGAAAUGCAUGAGCAGACCCCAUCGUGUAGUCAGCCGGUGUGAUAAUUGUCUUCACCGCUCGUGAUCACUUCAUGAAGCUGCACGGUUGGAGCGCCUGCUACCAAUCGUCUUCGGACAACCUUGACAACUUGACCUCAAAUCGGGUAGGACUACCCGCUGAACUUAAGCAUAUCAAUAAGCGGAGGAAAAGAAACUAACAAGGAUUCCCCUAGUAACGGCGAGUGAAGAGGGAAAAGCUCAAAUUUUGAAUCUGGCGUCUUUGGCGUCCGAGUUGUAAUCUAGAGAAGUGUUUUCCGCGAUGGACCGUGCACAAGUCUCCUGGAACGGGGCGUCAUAGAGGGUGAGAAUCCCGUAUAUGGCAUGGACUCCCAUUGCUCUGUGAUACACUCUCCACGAGUCGAGUUGUUUGGGAAUGCAGCUCAAAAUGGGUGGUAAAUUCCAUCUAAAGCUAAAUAUUGGCGAGA
RNAcentral lists this ribosomal RNA (901 nucleotides) under uncultured fungus. RNAcentral's name for it is "eukaryotic LSU rRNA". The stretch from base 567 to 901 matches the Rfam family "Eukaryotic large subunit ribosomal RNA", at positions 1 to 331 of the family's 3401-position model. The record is from RNAcentral. Lineage: Eukaryota; Fungi.